AGAAAUUAAACUCACCGGAAAACGCUGAACCGUUGUUGUUGGCCAAAGUCCGUCGCCCAAACAACAUCGAUAGGAAGCGGAAUUUGACUGAUAACGUUAGUUGUUUUCGGUGUCUUUUAUUUUCCUUUAGCUCAGGGGUCGUGUACUUUUUAGCCUGUUUUAGCAAAUACAAAAACGAUUAAUCUUUGUCUGUCGCACUGUGAGGAUGGGAGGUUUUUUGAUGGAGGCGUGUGUGGACUCCGUGGAGUCUGCUGUAAAUGCUGAACGAGGAGGUGCAGGUCGACUUGAACUGUGUUCUAGUCUGCUGGAGGGUGGACUCACUCCAAGUCAGGGUCUGCUGCAUGUAGUGAAGCAGUGUGUCAAAAUCCCAGUCUACGUGAUGGUGCGGCCUCGUGGGGGGGACUUCCUGUACUCCGACCAGGAAGUGGAGGUGAUGAAGAAGGACAUAGAGCUGAUGAAGACGCACGGGGCGGACGGGCUCGUCCUGGGCGCCCUGACUGAGGACGGGCGGGUUGACGCCGAGCGCUGUAUGGAGUUUCUGGCUGCUGCUCAACAUUUGCCUAUCACCUUCCACCGAGCUUUUGACAUGGUGCAUGACCCAGUAGCCGCCCUGGAGACUCUGGUGUCAUUGGGGUUCCAGCGUCUUCUGACAAGUGGCUGUGAGAACUCUGCUUUGGAGGGACUUCCUCUUAUUAAGCAGCUCAUUGAUCAGGUGUGUAUAAAUGAUAUGUACCUAUUUCCAUUCAAGCAUUUGAAAAUGGGGUUAUUUAAAAUAGGGCUAUUUGUCUGUGCUGCUUUGUCUUUUAGGCUGACAAGCUUGUAUCUCUUUCUUUAUGCCAUUCUUCUGUCCCACUUUCCGCCUUUUCUUUCCACUCAACAGGCGAAAGGGAGGAUUGCCAUCAUGCCAGGUCAGUACCUUUCACAUUUUCCCUGUAAAUUACGUUUCUGUUUUUUGUUGUUGUUAUUGUUUUUUUUAAACAGGAGGAGGAAUUACUGAAAGGAACUUGCAGAGGAUUUUGGAAGGUACGGGGGCUCAAGAGUUUCACUGCUCAGCCCGUUCCAGCAGGGAUUCCGCCAUGAAGUUCAGGAACACAUGUGUGACAAUGGGAGCUUCUUUCUCAGCACCAGAGUACGGUCUGAAGGUGGCAGAUGUGAGCAAGGUCCGCACUCUCAACGCGAUAGCCAGAAAUACCAUGUGAAUCGGUGAUGUGCAAUCAUGACAAAUAACAAAACAGAUACCUCAAAAGUGAUCAUUACUGCUAUGUCAUUGUUUACUUUUAUCACAGUACAGAAUAAGUAGACAUUUUUAAAACCUUUUUCUACUUUAUAUUUAAAUCUCUGAUCAAACAGUCCUAAUAAAGUUAAAGCUCAGGGAAAGCCUCCCAGCCUUCUGGGACAUGCAGUCACAGUAUCACGCAGUGCGGAAUGAUGAAUAAUUUACAUCUGUUAUUUUUCACCUGUAUUUUGACUCAGAAAAAGUGUAAUAAAAUACACAAUCCAUUUCAAAAUGUGAAAUCAUUGUGUUGCAGCCGCCAUUAGAGCAGAAUGUUUUCAAGUUGCCAUGUGUCGAGGGAAUUUCUCACAAGGAUAUUAUGCACUAAUUUCCACUGCACCAUGUAGGUGACAUAUUUAUUUUCAUGUUAUACUAUCGUUCUGUGUGUCUAAAAAAGUGACUAAACAAAGAAUAUGGAAAAGCA
This is a non-coding RNA of Gasterosteus aculeatus aculeatus (three-spined stickleback), 1697 nucleotides long. The record is from RefSeq and is a predicted model, not a curated record. NCBI's taxonomy places the organism in Eukaryota, Metazoa, Chordata, Actinopteri, Perciformes, Gasterosteidae.